UGGGGAAUAUUGCACAAUGGGGGGAACCCUGAUGCAGCCAUGCCGCGUGAAUGAAGAAGGCCUUCGGGUUGUAAAGUUCUUUCGGUGAUGAGGAAGGCAGGUAAGUUAAUAGCUUACUUGAUUGACGUUAGUCACAGAAGAAGCACCGGCUAACUCCGUGCCAGCAGCCGCGGUAAUACGGAGGGUGCGAGCGUUAAUCGGAAUGACUGGGCGUAAAGGGCACGCAGGCGGUGACUUAAGUGAGAUGUGAAAGCCCCGGGCUUAACCUGGGAAUUGCAUUUCAUACUGGGUCGCUAGAGUAUUUUAGGGAGGGGUAGAAUUCCACGUGUAGCGGUGAAAUGCGUAGAGAUGUGGAGGAAUACCGAAGGCGAAGGCAGCCCCUUGGGAAUAUACUGACGCUCAUGUGCGAAAGCGUGGGGAGCAAACAGGA
RNAcentral lists this ribosomal RNA (430 nucleotides) under uncultured bacterium. RNAcentral describes it as "bacterial SSU rRNA". It matches the Rfam family "Bacterial small subunit ribosomal RNA", at positions 355 to 777 of the family's 1533-position model. The record is from RNAcentral.